This 712-nucleotide long non-coding RNA is filed under the name Ananas comosus (pineapple). RNAcentral's name for it is "long non-coding RNA (ACOM_LNC009382)". The record is from RNAcentral. Lineage: Eukaryota; Viridiplantae; Streptophyta; Magnoliopsida; Poales; Bromeliaceae.
UAUAUAUUUAUUACAUAUAAUUAAAUGUAUAUAUGUAAAGGCCGUCUAUUAUACUCUUAUGAGUAUAGACUUCUUUAUCAUAAUAAGUUUUCGAACGUUAGAUAUACCCUUUUGACCAUUUCACCCAUUAAAUCAUAUUAUUCAACCAACCAUCCACUCAACCCUAAGUGAUCACUAUCAUCCUAACUGCACAUCUCUUUAUCCAUUGGCCGAAAACUUAUGAAUACAAAAAGAUCGAUAUUCAUAAGAGUAUAAUAAUCUUCUAUAUGUACCAAGUGCUUGAUGCUAUCAGGUUUUCGGCCCUUGUAUGAAGGGAUCUGUGGUUAGGAUGAUAGUGAUCCCCUAUAGUUGAGCGCAUAGUUAAUUGAAUAGUAUAAUCUAAUGAUCAAAGGGAUAGAUCUAAUGGCGGAAAACUAAAGAGCAUCAAACAUAUGAUACUAUCGAUAAUAUAUAUAUAUAUAUAUAUAUAUAUAUAGUUGAACUAGAAUACUUGUAAAAGUAUCACCUAAGUGAUACUUGUGUAUUUUUAGUCCUUGGAUGGAGAGAUGUGAGGUUGAGAUGAUGGUGGUAGGUGGUGGUAGGUGGUGUUAGGUGGAAUAGUGUUUGAUUCAAGGACUAUUAGUAAUCAAAAAGUAGAUUCAAUGGUUAAAAACACACAAGUAUCACUUGGGUGAUACUUGUAAAAGUAUUCUAGCCCUAAUAUAUAUAUAUA